GAUGAACGCUGGCGGCGUGCUUAACACAUGCAAGUCGAACGGAAAGGCCCAAGCUUGCUUGGGUACUCGAGUGGCGAACGGGUGAGUAACACGUGGGUGAUCUGCCCUGCACUUCGGGAUAAGCCUGGGAAACUGGGUCUAAUGCCGGAUAGGACCACUUCUUGGAUGUUGUGGUGGAAAGUUUUUUCGGUGUGGGAUGAGCUCGCGGCCUAUCAGCUUGUUGGUGGGGUAAUGGCCUACCAAGGCGUCGACGGGUAGCCGGCCUGAGAGGGUGUACGGCCACAUUGGGACUGAGAUACGGCCCAGACUCCUACGGGAGGCAGCAGUGGGGAAUAUUGCACAAUGGGCGCAAGCCUGAUGCAGCGACGCCGCGUGGGGGAUGACGGCCUUCGGGUUGUAAACUCCUUUCGCUAGGGACGAAGCGUUUUGUGACGGUACCUGGAGAAGAAGCACCGGCUAACUACGUG
RNAcentral lists this ribosomal RNA (467 nucleotides) under uncultured bacterium. RNAcentral's name for it is "partial 16S ribosomal RNA". It matches the Rfam family "Bacterial small subunit ribosomal RNA", at positions 28 to 507 of the family's 1533-position model. The record is from RNAcentral.